UACGUAGGGGGCAAGCGUUGUCCGGAAUCAUUGGGCGUAAAGCGCGUGUAGGCGGCUCGAUAAGUCUGCUGUGAAAGUCCAGGGCUCAACCCUGGGAUGCCGGUGGAUACUGUCGAGCUCGAGUCCGGAAGAGGCGAGUGGAAUUCCUGGUGUAGCGGUGAAAUGCGCAGAUAUCAGGAGGAACACCAAUGGCGAAGGCAGCUCGCUGGGACGUGACUGACACUGAGACGCGAAAGCGUGGGGAGCAAACAGG
RNAcentral lists this ribosomal RNA (253 nucleotides) under uncultured bacterium. Its description in RNAcentral is "partial 16S ribosomal RNA". It matches the Rfam family "Bacterial small subunit ribosomal RNA", at positions 524 to 776 of the family's 1533-position model. The record is from RNAcentral.